This is a long non-coding RNA of Cygnus olor (mute swan), 7235 nucleotides long. RefSeq lists it as uncharacterized. The record is from RefSeq and is a predicted model, not a curated record. The transcript is spliced from 2 exons. Lineage: Eukaryota; Metazoa; Chordata; Aves; Anseriformes; Anatidae.
AGGGGGAUGGUUGGACCAGAUGAUCUUGAAGGUCUUUUCCCUAAUAAUUCUAUGAUUCUAUGAUAAUGACAGUGAAAUACCAGCACACUUUGCUGAAAACAAAACAAAACAAAAAACUGUAAAAUGCCCAUAACUGGAGUUUAUUAGCAACAGGUUAGAAAAAACAUUUGUUGGGAAUUAUUUACACGUAGUUGAUUGUGCUCUUGGGGAAAAGUAACUAAUUUAAUUUAAUCAAUUCUUUCUAGACUUACUUCCUUUUGUUUCUACGUCUUUGCAGUCUUUUGAAAAAUAUAUUUAGUCUUUGUAUGAGAAUUCAAUGAGAAAUCUUUAGGUUUUGUAAGAAAGUCAAAGUUUACUAAAAAUCUAAUAGAAAUGUCACUCUGCUUUGCUUCUCCCCCCGAAACAAGUGGCCUUAAUGCUGAAUUAGAAAAAUACUAAAAUACUAUUAGUGAGUAAAAACAAAGUCUUUGAUGACUGGGUAGGAAUAGAAAAAAAAAAACUGAAAAAUGAAAUGCUGCUGCAAAUCACAAGUUUGUGUGGAACACUUAUUCAAGCAUUUCAACAAAGACGUUACCUGUUCUUUAGUAAGAAAUACACAUUUUCAGAUAAAUUCAAGGCUGUCCCAAAGCUUUUCCUUUUUCCUCCUCUUUUCAUUCUGGUCCCUGAAGGCGGUAAGUAACAUUAUUGAUACAGGUAUGUUGGGGGUGCCACCUGUGCAGCUCACAGUUCAGCAGUAAAGCUGAAUGCCCUUCGAAGUACUUCAGAAAGGAAAAAAAAAACAAAAAACUUACCUUAUAAAACCUAAUGGAUUGAAGAGCAACAAGAAGGAAUUCCCAUCUAAAUGCAAAUCAAGGCAAACCCAUUUUGAAUGCAAGAGUAAGGUACAAAUGGUAAUUUUCCCACCAUUUGUUACUGCUACUUACAAUUACAGUUCUAUACCAGUCAAGUAGUUAACAGCUCUUCUCUUGAUGAGCUGUCAAUGAACAAUUCGGAUUUUUUCCAAAUGUAUGUCAUAGAUAUGCUUAUUCUGUAGCAAUCUGUUUGUGCAAAGUUAAUUUAAAAAACUUUAUUUUUUUGGUUUAAUUUAGUCUGGCUUAUGAAGUGGAGAGAGACAGAAAAUAUCAGAAAAAAGGUUUCAUCUGCUGGUUAAUCUGUGAAUUAAACUCCUACUUGUUUUCUGCUAGAGUGUCAUAACUGAUACCAGUGGCUUGCAACAGCUGGGAAGGCUAGAAUCAGUGAGUCUGAGAUCAGGAUCCCAUCCUGAAUUCCUUCCAUAUUUAAAAAUAUUAACUGCAUGAUUAAAAGGAUGGCUGUAGGAUGACAGCCUGAGAGUCUGUUACAUGCCUGGAGAACAUGGUCGGUCCCAGUGCAGAGCUCUGGCCUGGUUCUAAUGCAAAGUCCUCCUUACCUCAAAAAACUUAUAGCGUGAAAAGAGCAGCUGUGCAGAAAUUGUAGUUUCUACCAUUUAUUCUAAGGAAUCUCUGUUCCAGCACCCAAGAAACUAGUAAGGAAGGGGAUGUCUGAUACAAAAUACUGGAUUCAAGUGUUUUCUUCCUGUACCUGGAAGGAAUGCAGUAAACUUUGCUCUAGUCUUAAAGAGGUUUUGAAAUACUAGAUGCUGUAAUCAUUUCGGUGCGUAGUAUGUGCAAUGAAGAUGGUGACAACUCAGAGAUUACAAUUUGUUUAGAACACAGUAACCAAAUCCCAAUAACAAUGCGUGGCAUUGAAAAUGAACUUAGUGUCAGCGUUGCAUGUUCUCUUACCAUGCUCGGUCCCUAAUCUGCAUGGCCCUUAAUGAGUUAGAGGCACAACUGGCCUGCAGCAGGUGUGAAAGUGAUGGAACAAGGUGUACCUACUCUGCGUAUGUUUCUAAUAUUGUGCAGUGAGAUUAAAGGUGGCUGUAGUGGUUUCUUUUUAAAACAGCUCAAACAGCCAUUGGAUAAGAACUCUGCCCGGAAAGGACUUUUUUCUUCAUCCCAAUGUCAUCAGAAUGUGAAUCCAAGAGUUGUCCUAAUCCGGAAUCUGCUGACAUGACACAGUAACUAUGUACUGCUUUUACGUUUCAGAAGUAGUAACUAGCCUCCCACUGAAUUAUAUUUGUAUCCUCACACACACCAAAAGCUAUAAUAUUAAUUACUUUACAGAGUUAAUUAUUAGUGAUCGGGAGUUACAGUUGGGGACCUUUAGUAGGUUAAAUGGAUAACAUACUUGGAACAGCAAUAACACGUAGCCUAAAAGUGGUUAUAGGAGUGCAUUCAGCACCAGGAAAGAUAUUGAAAUGAACGAUGUGCAUUUAUACUAAAUCUGCACUGCAAUUAUAGUACAGAGUGUUGAAAUCUCUUUACCCUGAAGAUAUAUGAACUGAAUGUGGAGAGUGAUUUCACAUUUCCAAUGGAGAGCCCUUCCUAAAUAUUUCUGUAUGGAAAUGAACUUGCAGUUUAAUCCCAGGGAGUUCUGUCACUGGCUUAAUUGAGAAAAAGUUUACAAAACUUCUUUUGAUCUAACAUCAGAAACAAAGAACCUGUCUUAGAUAGGAACAGUGGCCUGUAUCGCUCUCCUGCUUUGUCUGAGAAAAAAAGUUGGUAGCAGUGCCAGAAGAGUUAAGCACUUCUAAAAAAAUAAACCUCGAGGAAGUAAACAACCAAGGAAUAGUCUAGAUCCCCAGCUAAAUUCUUACAGAGAAGUCAAAACAGAAGUGGUGAAGAGACAGGAUUUGUUUACGUAACCUCUAAUCUCUAGCUGUAUGUCUGAUCCUACAUCGCUCUGCAACUCAGAUAAGAGUUUUGCAUCAAGAAUAUCAAAGAGGCAUUCUCUAAAGAAGCCUUUGUGGCCAAUAUUCAUUCCCCACAUUAUGCAUGUAGAAUAUAGGUGGAGACUGAAUCGGUAUUAUCAGCAUGGCAUGUUAUUAAUCAAGCCACGAUUUAAAUUCUGUCCUUUUGAACACAAAGUUCAAAAAAGUUACUUGUGAGGAACUGUCUAGAGGUUGUUUGUUAAGAAUAGUGAUGUGAUGAUAGUGCUAUCGCUGCAAACAUGAGGAGCUCACUCAGUAGUUUAACGUAUUCCUGUUUUUUUAAGUGUUCUUGUCUUAAAUGUUUAUAUCAUAUAUGCUUGAAAAGAUAUGCUUUAGCUUUUUUCACACGUGAUUGAGUGCUCCGGAGUCUCUUUGAAAUAGGACCUCUCUCUUAUCGCACUUUGAUGACGGGAGGGAAAGGAGAAAUGAUUGCUGGAGAAAGCUGUAGUAAUCAGUUCAUAAGCAUUACAGUCAAUAUUUCUGAUUGUGACAAACAUACUGUGGUUUUGUUUGUUUGUUUUUAAUAAUAAUAAUAAAUCAGAUUAAGCUAAAUCAUUGAUUAAAAAACAGGUAAGCAUUAACUAAUUUAAAGAGGAUGGACAAGAAUAAGUGUGAGCCCACAUUUACCUGGGGCUUCAUUCACAGGCAUUGAACACGGAAGGAUUAUUUGUGUUAGUUAAAGUUAAGCACUUACUUAAGUACUUUUGCUGGAUUGAGGCCACAGUACUGCAGAGUACUCUACGGAACAGAGGCCACUGAGAAUAACAAAUUUAAAAAAAAAUACCCAGAGCCAAAUCUGAUUUGAAUAAACAUUCACUAUACACCAUUUUGCUUUCUUCAUCUUAGUGUUGUAUUUCAAAGUCUCAACCAUGGAUAGUGACUUCAGUGUGCAAACACUUAUUACACCAGCUAUCGGUGGUGGUGUUUUUAAAAUCUAAAAUGAAACACCUUUUCCCUUACAAAGCCUGAAGGUAAUUGAUAUCACACUUCAGGUUUGAGUAAACUCUGCAAAAUUCCAGUAACCUAUUAGCAGCCUACUGUUAAAAUGGAAUUUUCAUGACCAUCAGCAGUUCAGACAGCCUGGAAGCAGAUACAUCGAGCCUAAACAUUAGCAGGACAACACAGGUGAGAGUUGGAAGGAUGCUUUACUGAAAAAUAGAGUCAGUCCAGCUCAGAGCUGAAUCACCCACGAUCUCGACAAAGCUUUAAGAAGUUUACAUACACCUAAACUGAACAAAUAAUUCACUCGGUGGCACACGCUGCACGAAGGAGCAGAUAACUGCUGCCUGAACAUGUAGCAAGUGAGCUACGCAGUGAGUAGCUGCCUUCUACAGAGCUUAUCAUGACUGAGGAUCUCCAUACUCAGUAGGACACCAGAAGUAUUAAAAAGCUAUCUCAAAGAGGCAGGCAAGCUUCUUUCAACACAGAGCCCAUGGUUGACUUGUAAUCUCCAAAUAAAUCAUUUUUGGACAUAAAUUAUUUUUCAGAUGGCACUAAAUCUGCAUAGCUUGAGGAACCUAACUAUCCUCUGAAUUACUUCCAGAUCUACUGCUGAUCACUGCAGGCAUAAUUGUGUGCUGCUUCUCCUUUAUUCUGCAUAAAACAAGUCUGCAAUGACGGCAUCGUGCAACAGCUAUCUUCCUUCUGUCAUGCAUGCUUUCCCUUCUGACAACCUCUUAACCAUAUUGUUCCAUCACUUCAGUUGUUCCAUCACUGCAGUAUUGUUCCAUCACUGCAAUUGAGACCAGCUCCUCCAAUGUACCGGUUCUGUGGUUUGACACCACCUGGAAGGGACUGAAGCGAGGACUUUGCUAAGAAAGAAGCAUAUCAGGUGCUUCAGCUAAAUGUUUUAUGACUCCGAACAAUAGCAUGAAGAGAUGUGGAAAUACUGAUAAGGCUUUUCCCUGUAUUCCGUGAACCAGAAUCGAAAAGAAUUCAAAUUAGUUCCAUGCUAAGGAGCUGGGAUAUACCUCCAGCAAGCCUGCCACCACGCUUACAUUACUGCAGUUUGUGCAGAGGUGGAUGCAAAAGUAUUCGUGGUCAGUGGAUGUGCACAGUGUGCAUAUGGUGAACACAGGGUUCGCAAGCACAUACAUGCAGACUGCUUAGACACAGUUGGUAGUUAGAUGUCUGCUGGGAGCUGAAAUUAUUCCUCGAAAUGCUCCCCAAGUUUUUUGUUGUUUUGUAUUUUAGCUUAUCCCAGUCUCUCAAAAUAGGGAAAUAAAGGAUUGCAUUCACUAGUCAGCGGUCUAUUUGAGGAGACCUCUGUAUUAACGUAGCAUGGUAUCUCCCAGUUAUCAGUGGUAUGAAAAUGGGCUGCUUAAAUUGUCCUUACAGGUAAAGUAGCAGUUGAGCUAUGAAUAGCCUUUCUGAAGCCAACAGAAUAAAACGGCACUCAUUACAGCACAGUCAGGCUUAAAUUCUACUUUGAGAAUUUAACAUAUGUCAAUGAUAUGUAUUGCAUACACAUAGAUUACAUUGUAUAUAAGGCCUAUGGAGAUGUCUCUUAGUUUCUGAAGUGCAUUUAAGUAGCUGACUGGAAAUUCAGUGUCUGUUUCACCUAAAUGAAAAAAAUGCAGUUGAACACUAAACUAAAUAAUGCAGUCAGGAGUUCGCGACGAAAGCGAUUGUUUCUGCCAAGAUGGUCGUAUUUCCAAGGUUUUUGAAACCAAGAGCAUCACCUUUUAAGAUGAGAAGUUCUGCAAGCCUUGGACCUUUUUAUCAGGGAUACUACCUCUGUGCUGUGCUGUCUGCCGCAGAGGGAGCCAGAGAAAGGGCUCACGGAGGAGGGAUGGCAGCGCAGAAGGGAAACUGCUGCUGGCCGGGCAAUCCCAAGAGCCCGUUUGAGUUAAGCUUAGGAGUUUCAACUGGGUUCUUCUCAGAGGAUGCCCAAGUAAGGCCUUGUGAGUGAGAGAGGAUGGGGCAUUCUUGAAGGAAGGGGAGCUGGUUUGGCUUUGACAUUUCAGUGGUUGUUAUAUUCAUUUUUAGUUUGUUUUGAUGAUAUUUUAAGCUCUUGGGAAAGGCACACCAAGUUCAGAACGGAUGCCUGGCUAUAGAUCUCCAGAAAAAACUGUAUUUAUUUAAGGUUGUUAAUUGACUUAGGUAGACAUUAUAUCGAUUCCCAUUUUUAAAGUAAUUUCAUGUUUAGUUGUGGUAAAAACGAGUGAAAAUGAGGAAGUCUGCAUUCCAGCGCACAACAUUAAAUCCGGGGCAUGUGUGUGUAUUUACUAAUCUGUAUACAAUCUGCAGGACAGAAUGUCCUAUGGUAAUUCUUCGAAAAUGAUCAGUUCUUGAGAAUGUCUCAGCUAUUUUAAAGUAAGCUCUAAAAUACAUAACUUGGAAAAGCAGCCUACUUUACAAUGAUCUUUUGUGUAAAUCUUGAUGAGCUCUGGAAAUGAUAGGUUUCUAUACAUGAUUAUAGUCUGUAGUGUUGAAGCCCGUUGCUAAAACCUUUCAAUGCAACAUGCUAUCUAUAGUCAAUUUAUCUUAAGCCACUCAUAUCUCCUGCUUUAUGAAUAUCUGACUUCUGUAGAACUUCUUCAUGUAUCUCUUUGACUUACGGCAGUGUUACAGCAUGUUUUUAAUACAUGGGAAACUGAGGCACUGGGACACCAAGUGACGUACUCGUCGUCACAUCCGUGAUCUCUGACAAGACAAAUAGCUGAAAAGAGUGGAAAUCUUGAAUUCAGAGAACUAGAACAGCAACAGCCAUGCUUGGGGCCAUGAGGAAAAGAAGGAAGACCGAGGAAAUCAUCCUUUUCUUCAAAAUGCAACUUCUGUAUCUGUAAAAUCUUGGAUGAUGGGAGAAACUACCUGGUGACCAGCUCAUAUUAUGUCCUUUUGUACCAGAGUGGUGCCCAGUGGCGUCUUGCUGUCUCCUUCUGAAGACAUAUUCCAGGAAAGAAAGCUGUGCACUCUCUCUAGAAGCAAUUCCUCACAGUGCUUCCUAAGGAAUCAGCUUUGGCAAUGUCCUGUCCCUGUGUGCAGCGUGUCUGUGGGGAUGUACUCUCGAGCGGUCAUUACCAGUAUGCUUAAGGGAAAGGGGCAGGAGGGGAAUGUGUUGUCUUUCACAAACUAUUUCUUCAUCAGUAGCUGUUUCCACCUGUGUGAGGAGCUGGGUGCCGAGGCAGUACACACCACGGAUGUUUCCAAGUAAAUAUCCCAACACCCCAGCUUAAAAGCCGAACACACAGCAGCAGGCAGAUAGCAAUCUUACAGCUGCUGCUCUCCUUGCUGCUCGGUGAUCAGCUAUUUCCCACUGUCACCAGGAGCUUUCUUCUUUUCCAAUACCUGUAUUAAUUCCCUCAUUUAGUCUCUUCUGAAUCCCUUAUGUUUUCCCCAACUCUUUUUCCGUCCUCUGUCUGCCCCUUAGCUUCCUUUCUCAUCUCCAGUACUUGUGCUGGUCAUUUGUAAGUGUUUUCACAGACAAUAAAACUUGUGCAAA